AGACGUUCUCCGGAGCAGUAUCUGCUCCGAUAUAUAACCACGAACUUGGACGUUUCGCUACAAGAAAACGAGGAUCCUUCGUGGACACAAAUUGAACGAAGACGUAGUACGUUCGGUUUCGGAACUUAACUAGGGCCGUUACGAAGCGAUGUUGGUAAUUCGGCAGCUUCUAAUGACAGAAUCUUGUUUGGUGAAGCGCAACGUUAUACGACAAUUUUUGCAUAGUAACUGGAAUCCUUCUAAACCACGGAUCGUUGGUGUUCUCUUUAAAUACGUGACUGAAUUGAGCGGGAUAAGAACUUAGAAUCGCCAGUGCCUACGACUGUGUAUCCGAGGUCCUCGACACGACCUUUCGAAUGAUAUGUCUAUAUUGAGAACUGUAUGAUAGCAAUGACGCUGGUGCAUUCAAAGACUCGAACGAACACCAAAAAAUAGAGGAACAACUUGGAAAAUCUAUGGAACGAAUUUUUUUUCUACGUAUAUUCAUCUUCGAGACACAAGUACACAGGGAAAUUUAUUUAUCUCGCCACUUGCUGAACAAUUUUCUAAUCAGUCUCAGUAGAUCGCUCGGUGAACUUUAACCUAUUGUGCGUUCUUAAAUGCUAAUCGAUAAGUUUCAUAGUUCCUAUACAAUCUACUAUUACUGAAUACUUGAUAUACAUGUACUAACCAUCUCUCCUAG
RNAcentral lists this unclassified non-coding RNA (682 nucleotides) under Bombus terrestris (buff-tailed bumblebee). Its description in RNAcentral is "misc RNA ENSBTSG00005021040.1". Lineage: Eukaryota; Metazoa; Arthropoda; Insecta; Hymenoptera; Apidae. The record is from RNAcentral.